This 268-nucleotide long non-coding RNA is filed under the name Panax ginseng (ginseng). RNAcentral describes it as "long non-coding RNA (PGIN_LNC006601)". Lineage: Eukaryota; Viridiplantae; Streptophyta; Magnoliopsida; Apiales; Araliaceae. The record is from RNAcentral.
UGAAAACAUUUAAUUUAAGCAAGGAUGAGCAUUUGAGUGCCCAGCAAGUAAUAGCAAUUAUAUAUAUAAGCUGAAAGAAUAUAAGUAUUCUCUUUACAUAACACUUCUACAAUGAAUCGAAAGUUGUGAAGUAAUCUGUACUGAUAAAAGAUUCACAUAACAACUCUCUUUCAAUUUCUUGAAAUUAGGCUCCACCCAUGAAUAGGGUUUAAGAAACAUACUAUGAACAUUGUUUUUCAUUUUCGAAAAGGUUUAGCAGAAAUUCAUC